UGUGCGGCCCGGGCCCCUCUGGCGACUGCCGUUUAGGCAGCUGCGAUGUCGGACCGCAUCG
Sphingopyxis sp. LC363 is the source of this 61-nucleotide non-coding RNA. NCBI's taxonomy places the organism in Bacteria, Pseudomonadati, Pseudomonadota, Alphaproteobacteria, Sphingomonadales, Sphingopyxidaceae. The record is from Rfam.